RNAcentral lists this ribosomal RNA (253 nucleotides) under uncultured bacterium. RNAcentral's name for it is "partial 16S ribosomal RNA". It matches the Rfam family "Bacterial small subunit ribosomal RNA", at positions 524 to 776 of the family's 1533-position model. The record is from RNAcentral.
UACGUAGGUGGCAAGCGUUGUCCGGAUUUACUGGGCGUAAAGAGCGCGCAGGCGGUCGGAUAAGUCGAAUGUGAAAGCCCCCGGCUCAACUGGGGAGGGUCAUUCGAUACUGUUCGACUCGAAGGCAGGAGAGGGAAGUGGAAUUCCUGGUGUAGCGGUGAAAUGCGCAGAUAUCAGGAGGAACACCGGUGGCGAAGGCGGGUCUCUGGGCCGAUACUGACGCUGAGGAGCGAAAGCGUGGGGAGCGAACAGG